GUUGUCUCAAUGUGAUAGUUAGCUUCCAAAUGUAUGCAUCCUCCUCUUCCAUAAUUAAUGGAGAUUUGAGGGAAAGCGCCUGAGGGCCUAACGACUAUAUUUUACACUGUUAGUGCUUAUUAAAGGUUAAAAAGGCUUAUAGGCAGUUCUAUUCUGGGACAUGUCUCCUAAUUGUAGAGGAUGGGGAGAGUCUCAAGUGUCUAUCUCUUUGCUUUUGGCUAGCAGCAGGUUGCAUUUAUACGUAAUCAUAUCAGGCGAAUGCUAGCAGCAGGUUAUACAGUAUUCAUAGAGAUAGACAUGCAGCCAUUUGAGGAUAAUGCUAGUAGCAGGUUAUACAGUAUUCAUAGAGAUAGACAUGCAGCCAUAUGAGGAUAAUGCUAGCAGCAGGUUAUACAGUAUUCAUAUAGAUGGAGAUGCAGCCAUUUGAGGAUAAUGCUAGCAGCAGGUUAUACAGUAUUCAUAUAGAUAGACAUGCAGCCAUAUGAGGAUAAUGCUAGCAGCAGGUUAUACAGUAUUCAUAUAGAUAGACAUGCAGCCAUUUGAGGAUAAUGCUAGUAGCAGGUUAUACAGUAUUCAUAUAGAUAGACAUGCAGCCAUAUGAGGAUAAUGCUAGCAGCAGGUUAUACAGUAUUCCUAUAGAUGGAGAUGCAGCCAUAUGAGGAUAAUGCUAGCAGCAGGUUAUACAGUAUUCCUAUAGAUGGAGAUGCAGCCAUUUGAGGCUAAUGUUGGUGUAAUAUUAAUGGUAGCAUUGAAUUAUUUGUACACAUUACAUACAGUAUUUUGUACUGAAUGCCUCUGUAUGUCUGAAAACCCUAUCUUCUCACUCUAGAUACAGGUUACAUAUGCCAUUACACCGCAUACUGACCCCAUUCAACACU
RNAcentral lists this long non-coding RNA (878 nucleotides) under Salmo salar (Atlantic salmon). Its description in RNAcentral is "lncRNA (ENSSSAG00000113711.1)". Lineage: Eukaryota; Metazoa; Chordata; Actinopteri; Salmoniformes; Salmonidae. The record is from RNAcentral.